CCAGGGCUUACAGACUACCAUUGCACAGGAUCAUUCAUGCGGUUGGACCAGCCUACGAUGGAGCCGAGGAAACGCCUACAUUGCUUGCUCAGACUUACAGGCGUUGUCUGCAACGUGCAAAGGAGAUUGAACUGGAAUGUCUGGCGUUUCCACCGAUUUCUUGUGGCGUUUACGGAUACCCCGUGAGGGAAGGAGCUCGGAUUGCGUUGCAGGAAAUCAAAGAUCCUCCUUCGUGUAUCAACGAGAUCCACUUUGUUCUCAGUGAUCCGAGCGAUUAUGUCACCUGGGUUUCGGAAGCAAACAAUGUACUUGGUUACUAAAGAACUGUAAAUCUCUACAAGGUUUCUACAUCAAAGCCUUGAAAGUCUCCAAUUAACAGAGAUAGAGCUGGAUCUCAUGUAAAGCUCGAGAUAUAGAUUAAGAUCUCCCUUGGAAGGGAAUAACGACACUUUGGACUGUGUAAAAGAAAACUUAAAAGCGAAAGCACCAAAACCA
This is a long non-coding RNA of Selaginella moellendorffii, 495 nucleotides long. RefSeq lists it as uncharacterized. The transcript is spliced from 4 exons. The record is from RefSeq and is a predicted model, not a curated record. NCBI's taxonomy places the organism in Eukaryota, Viridiplantae, Streptophyta, Lycopodiopsida, Selaginellales, Selaginellaceae.